Molecule: ribosomal RNA, 497 nt
Filed under: uncultured bacterium
Lineage: Bacteria
Description: partial 16S ribosomal RNA
Rfam family: Bacterial small subunit ribosomal RNA
Source: RNAcentral
GUUGAACGCUGGCGGCGUGCCUAACACAUGCAAGUCGAGCGACAACACGAGGGCUUUGCCCUUCUGACGUUAGGCGCGGGCGGGUGAGUUACAUGUGAAUAACUUCUCUAUAGGGGUGGAAUCCGUCGGGGAACGCUGAACUACCACAGGAUAUCUACGUGAAACAGCGGGUUCCUUAGUGAACGCGCGCUUUGCUGUUACUUAUUGGUGGAUCCACGCGUGAUUGGCUAGUUGGUAGGGUAACGGCUUACCAAGGCAACGAUGCGUAGCUGACCUGAGAGGAUGAUCAGCCACACUGGAACUGAGACACGGUCCAGACUCCUACGGGAGGCAGCAGUGGGGAAUCUUGGACAAUGGGCGAAAGCCUGACGGAGCAACGCCGCGUGAGUGAAGAAGGUCUUCGGAUUGUAAAGCUCUGUUAUUAGGGAAGAACAACUUUGUAAGAAACCAUGCGCGUCUUGACGGUACCGAAAGAAAAAGCAACGGCUAACUACGUG